RNAcentral lists this ribosomal RNA (253 nucleotides) under uncultured bacterium. RNAcentral describes it as "partial 16S ribosomal RNA". It matches the Rfam family "Bacterial small subunit ribosomal RNA", at positions 524 to 776 of the family's 1533-position model. The record is from RNAcentral.
UACAGAGGGGGCAAGCGUUGUUCGGAAUUACUGGGCGUAAAGGGCGCGUAGGCGGCCUGUUAAGUCGAACGUGAAAUCCCCGGGCUCAACCCGGGAACUGCGUCCGAUACUGGCAGGCUUGAAUCCGGGAGAGGGAUGUGGAAUUCCAGGUGUAGCGGUGAAAUGCGUAGAUAUCUGGAGGAACACCGGUGGCGAAGGCGGCAUCCUGGACCGGCAUUGACGCUGAGGCGCGAGAGCCAGGGGAGCAAACGGG